AGUGAACGCUGGCGGUAGGCCUAACACAUGCAAGUCGAACGGCAGCACAGUAAGAGCUUGCUCUUACGGGUGGCGAGUGGCGGACGGGUGAGGAAUACAUCGGAAUCUACUUUUUCGUGGGGGAUAACGUAGGGAAACUUACGCUAAUACCGCAUACGACCUACGGGUGAAAGCAGUGGAUCUUCGGACCUUGCGCGAUUGAAUGAGCCGAUGUCGGAUUAGCUAGUUGGCGGGGUAAAGGCCCACCAAGGCGACGAUCCGUAGCUGGUCUGAGAGGAUGAUCAGCCACACUGGAACUGAGACACGGUCCAGACUCCUACGGGAGGCAGCAGUGGGGAAUAUUGGACAAUGGGCGAAAGCCUGAUCCAGCAAUACCGCGUGGGUGAAGAAGGCCUUCGGGUUGUAAAGCCCUUUUGUUGGGAAAGAAAAGCAGCAGGUUAAUACCCCACUGUUCUGACGGUACCCAAAGAAUAAGCACCGGCUAACUUCGUG
RNAcentral lists this ribosomal RNA (492 nucleotides) under uncultured bacterium. Its description in RNAcentral is "partial 16S ribosomal RNA". It matches the Rfam family "Bacterial small subunit ribosomal RNA", at positions 29 to 507 of the family's 1533-position model. The record is from RNAcentral.